This 457-nucleotide ribosomal RNA is filed under the name uncultured Bifidobacterium sp. RNAcentral's name for it is "bacterial SSU rRNA". It matches the Rfam family "Bacterial small subunit ribosomal RNA", at positions 158 to 627 of the family's 1533-position model. Lineage: Bacteria; Bacillati; Actinomycetota; Actinomycetes; Bifidobacteriales; Bifidobacteriaceae. The record is from RNAcentral.
GGGUGGUAAUGCCGGAUGUUCCACAUGAUCGCAUGUGAUUGUGGGAAAGAUUCUAUCGGCGUGGGAUGGGGUCGCGUCCUAUCAGCUUGUUGGUGAGGUAACGGCUCACCAAGGCUUCGACGGGUAGCCGGCCUGAGAGGGCGACCGGCCACAUUGGGACUGAGAUACGGCCCAGACUCCUACGGGAGGCAGCAGUGGGGAAUAUUGCACAAUGGGCGCAAGCCUGAUGCAGCGACGCCGCGUGAGGGAUGGAGGCCUUCGGGUUGUAAACCUCUUUUGUUUGGGAGCAAGCCUUCGGGUGAGUGUACCUUUCGAAUAAGCGCCGGCUAACUACGUGCCAGCAGCCGCGGUAAUACGUAGGGCGCAAGCGUUAUCCGGAUUUAUUGGGCGUAAAGGGCUCGUAGGCGGCUCGUCGCGUCCGGUGUGAAAGUCCAUCCCUUAACGGUGGAUCUGCGCC